GUGGAUUAGAUACCCUGGUAGUCCACGCCGUAAACGGUGGGCGCUAGGUGUGGGGACCCUUCCACGGUCUCCGCGCCGCAGCUAACGCAUUAAGCGCCCCGCCUGGGGAGUACGGCCGCAAGGCUAAAACUCAAAGGAAUUGACGGGGGCCCGCACAAGCGGCGGAGCAUGCGGCUUAAUUCGAUGCAACGCGAAGAACCUUACCUAGGCUUGACAGUUGGGGAAAUCUGGCAGAGAUGUCAGGUCCGCAAGGGCCCCAAAACAGGUGGUGCAUGGCCGUCGACAACU
This 288-nucleotide ribosomal RNA is filed under the name uncultured bacterium. Its description in RNAcentral is "partial 16S ribosomal RNA". It matches the Rfam family "Bacterial small subunit ribosomal RNA", at positions 773 to 1060 of the family's 1533-position model. The record is from RNAcentral.